This 682-nucleotide ribosomal RNA is filed under the name uncultured Bacteroidota bacterium. RNAcentral describes it as "bacterial SSU rRNA". It matches the Rfam family "Bacterial small subunit ribosomal RNA", at positions 70 to 748 of the family's 1533-position model. The record is from RNAcentral. Lineage: Bacteria; Pseudomonadati; Bacteroidota.
AACAGGUGUAGCAAUACAUGCUGACGAGUGGCAGACGGGUGAGGAACACGUACGCAACCUCCCUCAAACCGGGGCACAACCUUGAGAAAUCAGGGCUAAUUCCCCAUAACAUUGCGAAAGGGCAUCUGAUUGCAAUUAAAGAUUUAUCAGUUUGAGAUGGGCGUGCGUUCGAUUAGCUAGUUGGUAAGGUAACGGCUUACCAAGGCAACGAUCGAUAGCUGGUGUGAGAGCACGACCAGCCACACGGGCACUGAGAUACGGGCCCGACUCCUACGGGAGGCAGCAGUAAGGAAUAUUGGUCAAUGGACGCAAGUCUGAACCAGCCAUGCCGCGUGUGGGAUGAAGGUCCUCUGGAUUGUAAACCUCUUUUAUCUGUGAAUAAACGUCCUUUUUCUAAGGGAUUUGAAGGUAAUAGAUGAAUAAGCACCGGCUAACUCCGUGCCAGCAGCCGCGGUAAUACGGAGGGUGCAAGCGUUAUCCGGAUUUACUGGGUUUAAAGGGUGCGUAGGUGGGUUGGGAAGUCAGUGGUGAAAUACUUUCGCUUAACGAAGGAACUGCCAUUGAUACUAUCAAUCUUGAAUGUAGUGGAGGUAGGCGGAAUGCGUCAUGUAGCGGUGAAAUGCUUAGAUAUGACGCAGAACACCAAUUGCGAAGGCAGCUUGCUACACUACUAUUGACACUG